This 266-nucleotide ribosomal RNA is filed under the name uncultured archaeon. RNAcentral's name for it is "partial 16S ribosomal RNA". It matches the Rfam family "Archaeal small subunit ribosomal RNA", at positions 719 to 982 of the family's 1478-position model. The record is from RNAcentral.
AGUCACUGACAUUAGAUACCCGGGUAGUCCAGGGUGUAAACGCUGCAGACUUGGUGUUGGAAGUCCUUUGGGGGGCAUUCAGUGCCGGAGAGAAGUUGUUAAGUCUGCUACUUGGGGAGUACGUCCGCAAGGAUGAAACUUAAAGGAAUUGGCGGGGGAGCACCGCAACGGGAGGAGCGUGCGGUUUAAUUGGAUUCAACACCGUAAAACUCACCAGGGAAGACUGUUACAUGAAGGCCGAGAUGAAGACUCUGCUAGAUUUUCAG